RNAcentral lists this ribosomal RNA (628 nucleotides) under Meloidogyne javanica (root-knot nematode). RNAcentral's name for it is "eukaryotic LSU rRNA". It matches the Rfam family "Eukaryotic large subunit ribosomal RNA", at positions 355 to 844 of the family's 3401-position model. Lineage: Eukaryota; Metazoa; Nematoda; Chromadorea; Rhabditida; Meloidogynidae. The record is from RNAcentral.
GAAGGAAAGUUGCAAAGCACUUUGAAGAGAGAGUUAAAGAGGACGUGAAACCGGUGAGGUGGAAACGGAUAGAGUCGGCGUAUCAUUCAAUUAUUCAGUUACAUUAUUUUUAUGUUGUGACCUCUGAGCUCCAGAUUGGGACAGAGGGAAUCAGCAUAAUUUUUUGUGGUGCAUUUACUUGAUUGGUGCUUGGGGAUGUUUGAGGCAGAUUUGUUUCCGUCGUUUUGAGGCCAGCUUGCUGGUACCCAAACGGUGUUAGCAUUUUUUGUCUUGGGCAUUUGAGUAUGGCUCACGUGUAUUUAUUGGACAGAUCUGAGUGUAAGUUACGGUCGCAUGCGACACGUGCUUUUCAAUUAGUUCGGUCCAGUUAAUGCUCUCGUACUCGUUCCCCAUGUAAAAGCCGGUCAUCUAUCCGACCCGUCUUGAAACACGGACCAAGGAGUUUAUCGUGUGCGCAAGUUUUUGGGUGUUAAAAACUUAAAAGCGAAAUGAAAGUAAAUGACUCUUUAGAGUCUGAUGUGCGAUCUUGUAAAAAAGUGCAGCAUGGCCCCAUUCUAACUGUUUACAGUAGGGUGGCGGAAGAGCGUACGCGGUGAGACCCGAAAGAUGGUGAACUAUUCCUGAGCAG